Molecule: ribosomal RNA, 301 nt
Filed under: uncultured bacterium
Lineage: Bacteria
Description: partial 16S ribosomal RNA
Rfam family: Bacterial small subunit ribosomal RNA
Source: RNAcentral
CAGCCGCCGCGGUAAAACGUAGGUGGCGAGCGUUGUCCGGAAUUAUUGGGCGUAAAGGGCUCGCAGGCGGUUUCUUAAGUCUGAUGCGAAAGCCCCCGGCUCAACCGGGGAGGGUCAUUGGAAACUGGGAAACUUGAGUGCAGAAGAGGAGAGUGGAAUUCCACGUGUAGCGGUGAAAUGCGUAGAGAUGUGGAGGAACACCAGUGGCGAAGGCGACUCUCUGGUCUGUAACUGACGCUGAGGAGCGAAAGCGUGGGGAGCGAACAGGAUUAGAUACCCCAGUAGUCCCUGUCUCUUAUAC